Molecule: ribosomal RNA, 466 nt
Filed under: marine sediment bacterium ISA-7258
Lineage: Bacteria
Description: bacterial SSU rRNA
Rfam family: Bacterial small subunit ribosomal RNA
Source: RNAcentral
UGCUAAGGUCGAGCGCCCCGCAAGGGGAGCGGCAGACGGGUGAGUAACGCGUGGGAAUCUACCGAGCCCUGCGGAAAUAGCUCCGGGAAACUGGAAUUAAUACCGCAUACGCCCUACGGGGGAAAGAUUUAUCGGGGUUUGAUGAGCCCGCGUUGGAUUAGCUAGUUGGUGGGGUAAAGGCCUACCAAGGCGACGAUCCAUAGCUGGUCUGAGAGGAUGAUCAGCCACAUUGGGACUGAGACACGGCCCAAACUCCUACGGGAGGCAGCAGUGGGGAAUAUUGGACAAUGGGCGCAAGCCUGAUCCAGCCAUGCCGCGUGAGUGAUGAAGGCCCUAGGGUUGUAAAGCUCUUUCAACGGUGAAUAUAAUGACGGUCACCGUAUAAGAAGCCCCGGCUAACUUCGUGCCAUCAGCCGCGGUAAUACGAAGGGGGCUAGCGUUGUUCGGAAUUACUGGGCGUAAAGCG